UACGUAUGGGGCAAGCGUUAUCCGGAUUUACUGGGUGUAAAGGGAGCGCAGGCGGCCUGGCAAGCCUGAUGUGAAAUACCGGGGCCCAACCCCGGGGCUGCAUUGGGAACUGCCAGGCUGGAGUGCCGGAGAGGCAGGCGGAAUUCCUAGUGUAGCGGUGAAAUGCGUAGAUAUUAGGAGGAACACCAGUGGCGAAGGCGGCCUGCUGGACGGUAACUGACGCUGAGGCUCGAAAGCGUGGGGAGCAAACAGG
RNAcentral lists this ribosomal RNA (253 nucleotides) under uncultured bacterium. RNAcentral's name for it is "partial 16S ribosomal RNA". It matches the Rfam family "Bacterial small subunit ribosomal RNA", at positions 524 to 776 of the family's 1533-position model. The record is from RNAcentral.